This 445-nucleotide ribosomal RNA is filed under the name uncultured bacterium. RNAcentral describes it as "partial 16S ribosomal RNA". It matches the Rfam family "Bacterial small subunit ribosomal RNA", at positions 354 to 796 of the family's 1533-position model. The record is from RNAcentral.
GUGAGGAAUAUUGGACAAUGGAUGGAAAUCUGAUCCAGCCAUGCCGCGUGCAGGAUGACGGCCCUAUGGGUUGUAAACUGCUUUUAUACGGGAGCAAUAAGGUCUAUGCAUAGAUUGAUGAGAGUACCGUAUGAAUAAGCAUCGGCUAACUCCGUGCCAGCAGCCGCGGUAAUACGGAGGAUGCGAGCGUUAUCCGGAUUUAUUGGGUUUAAAGGGUGCGUAGGCGGCUUUGUAAGUCAGCGGUGAAAUUUUGCAGCUUAACUGUAAAAGCGCCGUUGAUACUGUGAAGCUAGGAUUUGGUUGCUGUGGGCGGAAUGUGUGGUGAAGCGGUGAAAUGCAUAGAGAUCACACAGAAUAUCGAUUGCGAAGGCAGCUCACAAAGCCAAUAUUGACGCUGAGGCACGAAAGUGUGGGGAUCAAACAGGAUUAGAUACCCGUGUAGUCC